RNAcentral lists this ribosomal RNA (445 nucleotides) under uncultured bacterium. RNAcentral describes it as "partial 16S ribosomal RNA". It matches the Rfam family "Bacterial small subunit ribosomal RNA", at positions 354 to 796 of the family's 1533-position model. The record is from RNAcentral.
GUGAGGAAUAUUGCGCAAUGGAGGCAACUCUGACGCAGCCAUGCCGCGUGCAGGAAGAAGGCGCUACGCGUUGUAAACUGCUUUUAACCGGGAAGAAACCCCAGGACGUGUCCUGGGUUGACGGUACCGGAGGAAUAAGCACCGGCUAACUUCGUGCCAGCAGCCGCGGUAAUACGAAUGGUGCAAGUGUUAUCCGGAUUCAUUGGGUUUAAAGGGUGCGUAGGCGGAGCGUUAAGUCAGUGGUGAAAUCCUGCAGCUUAACUGUAGACUUGCCAUUGAUACUGGCGCUCUUGAGUGCGCUUGAAGUGGGCGGAAUGUGCCGUGUAGCGGUGAAAUGCUUAGAUAUGGCACAGAACACCAAUUGCGAAGGCAGCUCACUAAGGCGAUACUGACGCUGAGGCACGAAAGCGUGGGGAUCGAACAGGAUUAGAAACCCGGGUAGUCC